RNAcentral lists this ribosomal RNA (326 nucleotides) under uncultured bacterium. RNAcentral describes it as "bacterial SSU rRNA". It matches the Rfam family "Bacterial small subunit ribosomal RNA", at positions 28 to 355 of the family's 1533-position model. The record is from RNAcentral.
GACAAACGCUGGCGGCGUGCUUAACACAUGCAAGUCGAACGGUUCCCCUUAGGGGGAAUAGUGGCGGACGGGUGAGUAACACGUAGAUAACCUGCCCCGAUGUGGGGAAUAACUAACCGAAAGGUUAGCUAAUACCGCAUAAGUUCUAUGUUGUUGGACAUAGAAGAAACGCCUUCUUUGGGAGGUGGCGUUGGGAGGGGUCUGCGGCGGAUUAGCUAGUUGGAGAGGGUAACGGCCUCCCAAGGCGACGAUCCGAGCUGGUCUGAGAGGACGAACAGCCACACUGGGACUGAGACACGGCCCAGACUCCUACGGGAGGCAGCAGU